GGGCAACGAGAAAACCUGCACAUUUGCGAAUGACAGGCUUAACACAUUUAUGAGUAACGAUGUUGUGGAAGUACUCGUUGAGAUAUGAAGAACAGUCUCCUCUUCCUGAUAUCCGUCUGUUUGACGGUACUCCUCUUUCAGCCAUGUUCUACAGCCUCCUGGAAGAUACGCCACUGGAAGGGACUACUCCUGCUGUCGAAGGACAAAUGCGCCAACAGAUGCAAAUUUAAACACGGGUAUUUCACGGACGCCGCCGGCGAGACCCAGCUUGCUGCCAAGGCCAAGCGAGGGAUCAUCCCCGGAAAAUGUCAGUGCAUGGUAUCACCGGAGCUUAGGAAGUAUAUCACACAAAAACUCAGCCUCAAGGAGGCCAACACCUACGGACGUCUGAAUUUCUUCGGGAUGACGAGGAGGGCGCGCAAUCGACUGGGCGGGAAGGUCGAGUUCAUCACGUACGAACAACUGCAAGAGCGGCUCGAAGCCAAGAAGAAGGCGGCCGAGUACGAGAGGAUCGUCGCGGCGAACCGGGCUGCGGCCGCGGCGCGCUCUGCAUCAAAUUCAAAUCCCGGCAGCGCAUCUACCACCCCCGGACUGAGCGGUGCAUCCACCCCCGGGUCCCUGGGAUCGAGCGGGAUUUCCACCCCUGCGUUAGGAACGGGCGGCUCCUCCACACCCAAGGCGGGUCAGAGUGGGGCUUCCUCCCCCAAGAAGAGGGACGGUGGGGGCUCUGCUCAGCAAGGGGUUUCGUCGGCGGAUUUGGCGUCGCAGGCCAUAAGGGGCGUCAAAGCUAAUGAUAUGUGGGAUUUUUUGGAUAAGUCGAAGAAAGCAUGAACGGCCACGGCGAAGGAUUGAUGACUGUUUGAAAGGACGGUUCAGACUUCUAGAAACGAGAUCAGUAUUGGUUGGGACGUGAAUUGGUGAUUCAAUGGUAAAAAUUAAUUUUUUUAAAAAAAAAGCGAAGUACCUAUUACCGUCUCUAUUUGCUUUUGGACAAUUAUUGGGUGGUUACAUUCUGCAUCGAAGGAACUACUGUUUCGGGCUCAUUUUAGAAUCAGGUUACACGGAGAGAAAUUUCAACACGAAAGUUUGGUUUAUAAUACGGGAAGAACAACGUGGUGAAAUGGUGCUGGGUCCUCGCCAGAGAACCACGCAUUUCGCGGGGAAAACCAAGUCAAAAAGUUCCAAAAAUCUGCAAUUAGAAUCAAAAACAUUUUGAGCUCUACACGGAGAAAAAAACUUCGUUCGUGGGACCCGAAAGUGAGGUCAUAUGGAUCUCUGAAGUUUUCGGAUCACGUAUCUAAAAACUUGAGGUCGAGCUGCCGAAGUUCGGGUCACACAUCUGAAGUACUUCGAUACAUACCGAAGGGCUCGGGUCACACAUCUGAAGCACUCCGGUACAUACCGAAGGGCCUCGAUGUCUGACCCGAACUUUGGCAGCUGGACCUCAAGUUUUUAGAUACGUGAUCCGAAAACUUUAGAGAUCCAUAUGACCUCAACUUCGGCUCCCACGCACGAAGUUUUUUUCUCCGUGUAAUGAGAAUCAGUGCAAGACUGAGAUGGGAGAGUGUAGCUCAAGCAGCUUGCAUUGGAAUAUUAAGCUGUCUCACGCCGAGAGAUCUAUUACGUUUGGGGUCCUUUUAGACCUCAUCAGUAGAGCACAUUCAUUAGUGGAAACGAAAGUAAAGCACAAAUUAAGCCUAGCCUUCGGUUGACAAUUUGAAGAGAAAAUGUCACCUAAUAUUUUUGAAGAAAUUUAAUAAUAAACGAGUGAUGAAUACCGAUGUCGCAAUCGGAGGAAUGCAAUUUACUAUAGUCUGUCCAUUGUUUUUGCUAAAUUCACCGCAAACUGUACCAAAAUCAACCACAGCUUUGUGUUGGUUUGAGUUUUACUCCCUGUAUUGAACAAAAGUAAUACAAGAACACAAAUAUUUUUAAGUAUGUUUAAAUUUUACCCGAUGCGGAUAGGAGCUACAAUGGAUGAGCCAGAAAUAGCGGUUCCUGAAUGCAAAAUUCAAUACAACUUUCCUACUCUCACGUUGAAGUCUCCACCGUUCAACAAAAUUUUAGUUGCAUCUUGGUUAUGGUCACUCAUCUACCAAGCGUGAAUAAACUUCGUAUCAAUUUGAGUGGGAUGUUUCGAAAUUCUGUUAAAUAAAUUACUGAUGAAUAAUUACAAUUAAUUAUAAGAAUUUUUUUUAAAAAAAAAAAAAAAAAAAAAAACUAGCAAAAUGAUGGGACAUUUUCACCUAAUUUUUGAAUUUCAAACAAAACCAGGUUACGUUCGAAAAAAGCUUUUCCUUUCUAUGUUUUUACUAAUCGAAACCUUAAAGAAUGUAAGAACAGAACUGUCUUAAGUUUCUCUUUCCUUUUCAUGAGGAGAUAAAUUUGCUUCAAGAGUCACCCAACAGGAGGGGUGCCGAAAACCCACCCCAUGAAAGGCGUCACAUCGAAUAGCGGUGAGGCAGCGCCUAAGUUAUUAACUGUCUAAGUUAUACAGAAGCCCAUCAUUCAAAAUAUUGAGCAAAAAUGUUGAAGCUUCCAAACACUCAAGAUUCUUCAUGAGAAACUAAAUCCCUAGAAAACUUCAAGAGCACGCCGAAAUGUCUCGUCUAUCGCCAUGUUGCAAACACAAAAAAAUCAAUAAAUUAACUCUCAUUUCAAGACGUUGAUUUAAACGGUAGGAACAGCUUCUUCGAACGAUAUACGAACUCUCUUUCGCUCGAGUCAAGCCCUUUUGUCCAGAGAGAGCGAAGAUGAAACCAUUCUCAAAGUGAAACCAAGGAGGAUAAUAUUGGACUACAUUUUGCAAUUCGGAUCUACAACUUCCGGCUCACAGAAAAUAACACCUAUGCAUACGGACACACGAAGAAAAAACUUCGUGCGUGGGACCC
Molecule: long non-coding RNA, 2891 nt
Filed under: Bemisia tabaci
Lineage: Eukaryota; Metazoa; Arthropoda; Insecta; Hemiptera; Aleyrodidae
Description: lncRNA ENSASIAIIG000585
Source: RNAcentral